This 107-nucleotide small nuclear RNA is filed under the name Mustela putorius furo (domestic ferret). The record is from RNAcentral. Lineage: Eukaryota; Metazoa; Chordata; Mammalia; Carnivora; Mustelidae.
GUGCUCACUUCAGCAGCACAUAUUCUAAAAUUGGAAUGAUACAGAGAAGAUUAGCAUGGCCCCUGCACAAGGAUGGCACACAAAUUCAUGAAGCAUUCCAUAUUUGU